RNA transcript from Sus scrofa (pig), 3947 nucleotides. It is a transcript of the gene named LETM1 domain containing 1, with no coding region annotated. The record is from RefSeq and is a predicted model, not a curated record. NCBI's taxonomy places the organism in Eukaryota, Metazoa, Chordata, Mammalia, Artiodactyla, Suidae.
CAAAGAGAGGACUUCGUCCACACAGAGGCUGCUCCCAGGGCUCCAGCCUUCCCUCUAGUGUUAACUGGCACUAGAGGGCGCCUCGAGUCCUCCCAGUCCCUAGGAGGCGCCCUUGCCAGAGGCCCGGACAACCUGACAUCAGGCACCUGCCGCGCCAAGAACCCAAAACUCCUCGUACCGACGGAAGGCAAGAGCGGCGGCGCUAGGAAGUCCUGAGGCCUCAGGGCCUCACCGCGAGGGGUCACAAGGCCCUCAAAGAGAAGACAUCCUCAAGAUCAUAACCUAACCAAGGUCACAGACGCUACCCCCCCCUCCCUCGGGGAUAGCCCGUUUCCGGCGCCUUUAAAACAGGAAGUACUGACGGCGUCCAAUCCUGGUCCUCCUUCCGCAAUUAGCUUUAGCGUUCGCUCUUCGCCCGGGCAGCGCUAGGCGAGCCGUCUACCUUUACCAAUCAGCUGUCAGGAAAGGCGCAUGCGUUAUCGAACGAACGCGACAUACGGGAACUUUGACCUGAAGACGACCUCCUCUCGUUUCCCCCUCCCUCGCAGCGAAGAUGGCGCUCUCCAGAGUGUGCUGGGCUCGGGCUGCUUUGUGGGGUUCGGCGGUACCCCCUGGACCUUAUGUCGCCCGGAAGCUGCAGUUUGUUCGCUCUGGCCUAGCCUGGGGGGCCCCUCGGUCUUCAAAGCUUCACGUUACUCCAAAGACAGAUGUGAAGAGCUUGAUCUCUUAUGUGGCGACCAAGACAAAAGUGAUUCAUGAGAAAUACCAUCGUUUCUUGGGUCGUCAUUUCCCCCGCUUCUAUGUCCUGUAUACAAUCUUCAUGAAAGGAUUGCAGAUGUUAUGGGCUGAUGCCAAAAAGGCUAGAAGAAUAAAGACAAAUAUGUGGAAGCACAAUGUAAAGUUUCAUCAACUUUCAUACCGGGAGAUGGAGCAUUUGAGACAGUUCCGUCGAGACGUCAACAAGUGUCUUUUCCUAGGUAUUCUUUCCAUUCCACCCUUUGCCAACUACCUGGUCUUCUUGCUAAUGUACCUGUUUCCUAGGCAACUGCUGAUCCAACAUUUCUGGACCCCAAAGCAACAAAUUGAUUUCUUAGAUAUCUAUCAUGCUCUCCGGAAUCAGUCCCACCCUGAAAUCCUUAGUUAUUUAGAAAGAGUUAUCCCUCUCAUUUCUGAUGCAGGACUCCAGUGGCAUAUGACCGAGCUGUGCAGCAAGAUGCAACGUGGUACCCACCCAUCGAAACAUGAUAUCCUGGCUCUGAGAGAGUGCUUCUCGGACCAUCCUCUGGGCAUGAACCAGCUCCAGGCUUUGCAGAUGAGAGCCUUGAGUCGAGCCAUGCUUCUCACACCUUAUCUGCCUUCUGUCUUGUUGAGACACCGUUUAAAGACUCAUACCACUGUGAUUCACCAGCUGGACCAGGCUUUGGCAAAGCUGGGGAUUGGCCAGCUGACUGCUCAGGAGGUGAAGUCGGCUUGUUAUCUUCGUGGCCUGAAUUCCACCCAUAUUGCUGAAGAGAGAUGUCGAACUUGGCUGGGAGAAUGGCUGCAGAUUUCCUGCAGCCUGAAAGACGCUGAGCUGUCCCUCUUGCUACACAGCGUGGUCCUGCUUUCCAUCAACUACACCGGGACAGGGCGCUGAGCGACCGGGGAGCGGAUGGCAUUGCCCUGCGGUCACCUAGUACAGCGGCGUGGGACCAAAUGGCGCUUGUCCGCAGAGUCUGUGUGCACUGUUAGCGAUCCGACUGUAACCGACAGUGGCUGCCUUCUUUGGGCCAUGGAUCAAUCCUGUAAGGUACUAAUUACUGUCCAGCCCCGGAGACCAGGCGAGGUCUACACCGAGAGAGUAAGUUGGGUUCAGCUUCGGCCUACAUGUUAUCAGUGACCUGUAGUAAUUUACUGUAAAUGCAUGAAGUACUGUUUUUAAACUCAAGUAAAGACCGCCUGAAACCAGUUGCUGGAAAUUACUUCUGCACACCCUAAUCAGUUACUAAGGCGCCUUUCACAAGACUGACCAACAUAACCUAACUAAUGGGGAGAUAAUUGGUUGGAAUAGAACCUUCUGAUGGGAUGGAAGUUACAAAGGAGCUGAUUUGAAGUUGAUCCUCUUGCUGGAUUUUAAGAUGGUGACGAGGAAUAGAGAUUUCAUGUGUAUGUACCUGUAUAGUAAUGGAAUUUAAAAAUGGGCCCCAAGACAGGGACUGCAGGUAGGAAGCGCUCUAACGAGGCAGGAUCGAGGCCUGCUUCCGCUGAAGAGGGGCGUUAGGGCACAUGGUGCAAGUCAGGCUCUUGAUGCUCCAAAGAGAAUGUUCUAUUUUUCCACCAUAAAACAUUCCUAUUGUGAACAUUAAUCCUUAACUGGCCUGAUUGGUUUUAUAUACAGCGCUAGAGAAGCAUCUUUUCUCUAACAAGUAACUGAGCUGUGGUCUGGCAAGAUGAAGAAUUAACACACCGUCCUUUCGAAUAGUUCUUUAAUAUUACAUUUAAAUAUUCUCUUUAAAUACAGCAUUAUCACAAUGUAAAGGACCUAAAAGGAGGGAAAAAAAAAUUUUUUUUUUUUUUUUUUUGGAGAACCAGACAAGCUUUGGAUUCACAUUGAAAAUACUAUCUGUGUACAGUAUGUGAGAAAGGAAAUUGUGGAAAAUAAUGAGUUGUAAUAAUGUCAUUUAUUAUAUCUAGACCUAGUCUAACCGGGACUGAAGCUGUCUGCUUCUGUGACCAAAGGCCUAGCCCUUCCAGCCACCACGAGCCAUUCUGUCCAACUCGGGUAGCACCGGAAACGAGAUGGACUAGGUUGUAGAAAAGGCCCUUUGCUUGACAAGACAGUUAAUGCUAAAUGUGAACACUUAGCAUUUCAAAGCUUGGGAUAGGUGAGUCAGAACUGCGAGUUAGUGAAGGGAUGGACUUACAUUGAGAAGCUAGUUUUUUGGAACAAUUAAACCAUCGUGGAAUUUGGCAAUGAGUUUGCCUAGAUUCAAAUUCUUGGUUUGAUCCCAAAUGUGUCUUAUUGAACAGGUGAUAUCCACUCGGUUGCUUAGGCUGGAGCCUUCAAGGAAGGAGGGCAUGUGGAGUGCUCGCCCUCCCCUUCCAACACGAACUUCUAGAUUCUUCUCCAGAGUCAAAGUCCCAGUUAAGCUUCAGUGUUACACUUGAGGGGGUGUAGCUCAUUUUGGGGUGGCAUUUAGAUCUCAGGUACUUAUGAUUCUCAACUCCAUUUUCUGAGACUUAGAGGGUGGGGUGUGAUAAGGGCCUAUGACUUAGAAACUCCCUUUUAAAUGUAAAACCCAGCAAAAACAGGAAUGAACAGGAGAGGCAGAAUGAAUUCAAAGAUGUUUCUUUCAGGCUCAGCUCAGACUGGAGAGGUGAAAUGCUGCCGUGAUGAACAUGAAGGUUGCUUUCAGACACCAGGGCCUUAGUAUCCCACAAGAAAAGGCUUCAUGAGCAAGAUAAGUAGGAAUAGUUAUCUCCCCCACCAAGAAAAAAAAAAAAAAGUUUUUUUUUUUUUUUCCUCUCACUUUGUUUUUUCCUGGUUAAUAAACUAUACCAGAAAUGAAGCCUGGCAUAAAGGACGCUCCCUACUGCCUCCCUUUUAAAACAGAGGCAAAGACAACUUUGCUAACAAAAGAAUCCAGUGGUGUUCAGUGGAGCGCUUCCUGAAACGUAAGCUGGACAUAAGAGGACAGGAACCAUAUUCCCCCUUAAUUCGAGCAAGAACUGCGUUGUUCCACCCCCCAGCCCUCAAAGGGUGUAGUCGGAGUGUGAAUUUUUUUAGAACCUGGGAGUUGUAUUUAAGAAUUGGUUUGGCUUCCAAUUUUGAUGUAUCAAGACGGAGGGAUCCAAUAAGCAUUUGCAGUUCUUGGGGGUGAACCGCGAAAGAAUACAGUAGAGGACUCUAAACCCUGCACAUCCAAGGAGGUCCAUAAGGGCAGAUACAGAAAAAAAAGAACAGAAAC